GGUUGUAAACUUCUUUUCUCAGAGAAGAAGCAUUGACGGUAUCUGAGGAAUAAGCAUCGGCUAACUCUGUGCCAGCAGCCGCGGUAAGACAGAGGAUGCAAGCGUUAUCCGGAAUGAUUGGGCGUAAAGCGUCUGUAGGUGGCUUAAAAAGUCUCCUGUCAAAGAUCAGGGCUUAACCCUGGGCCGGCAGGAGAAACUCUUAGGCUAGAGUUUGGUAGGGGCAGAGGGAAUUCCCGGUGGAGCGGUGAAAUGCGUAGAGAUCGGGAGGAACACCAAAGGCGAAAGCACUCUGCUGGGCCAUAACUGACACUGAGAGACGAAAGCGAGGGGAGCAAAAGGGAUUAGAUACCCCUGUAGUCCUCGCCGUAAACGAUGGAUACUAGAUGUUGGGUAGGUUAAAUCACUCAGUAUCGUAGCUAACGCGUGAAGUAUCCCGCCUGGGGAGUAUGCUCGCAAGAGUGAAACUCAAAUGAAUUGACGGA
Molecule: ribosomal RNA, 482 nt
Filed under: uncultured eukaryote
Lineage: Eukaryota
Description: bacterial SSU rRNA
Rfam family: Bacterial small subunit ribosomal RNA
Source: RNAcentral